AGAGUUUGAUCCUGGCUCAGGACGAACGCUGGCGGCGCGCCUAACACAUGCAAGUCGAACGAGCGAGAGAGAGCUUGCUUUCUCAAGCGAGUGGCGAACGGGUGAGUAACGCGUGAGGAACCUGCCUCAAAGAGGGGGACAACUGUUGGAAACGACUGCUAAUACCGCAUAAGCCCACAGCUCGGCAUCGAGCAGAGGGAAAAGGAGCAAUCCGCUUUGAGAUGGCCUCGCGUCCGAUUAGCUAGUUGGUGAGGUAAUGGCCCACCAAGGCGACGAUCGGUAGCCGGACUGAGAGGUUGAACGGCCACAUUGGGACUGAGACACGGCCCAGACUCCUACGGGAGGCAGCAGUGGGGAAUAUUGCACAAUGGGGGAAACCCUGAUGCAGCGACGCCGCGUGGAGGAAGAAGGUCUUCGGAUUGUAAACUCCUGUUGUUGAGGAAGAUAAUGACGGUACUCAACAAGGAAGUGACGGCUAACUACGUGCCAGCAGCCGCGGUAAAACGUAGGUCACAAGCGUUGUCCGGAAUUACUGGGUGUAAAGGGAGCGCAGGCGGGAAGACAAGUUGGAAGUGAAAUCUAUGGGCUCAACCCAUAAACUGCUUUCAAAACUGUNUUUCUUGAGUAGUGCAGAGGUAGGCGGAAUUCCCGGUGUAGCGGUGGAAUGCGUAGAUAUCGGGAGGAACACCAGUGGCGAAGGCGGCCUACUGGGCACCAACUGACGCUGAGGCUCGAAAGUGUGGGUAGCAAACAGGAUUAGAUACCCUGGUAGUCCACACCGUAAACGAUGAUUACUAGGUGUUGGAGGAUUGACCCCUUCAGUGCCGCAGUUAACACAAUAAGUAAUCCACCUGGGGAGUACGACCGCAAGGUUGAAACUCAAAGGAAUUGACGGGGGCCCGCACAAGCAGUGGAGUAUGUGGUUUAAUUCGACGCAACGCGAAGAACCUUACCAAGUCUUGACAUCCUGCGACGGACAUAGAAAUAUGUCUUUCCUUCGGGACGCAGAGACAGGUGGUGCAUGGUUGUCGUCAGCUCGUGUCGUGAGAUGUUGGGUUAAGUCCCGCAACGAGCGCAACCCUUACUGUCAGUUACUACGCAAGAGGACUCUGGCAGGACUGCCGUUGACAAAACGGAGGAAGGUGGGGAUGACGUCAAAUCAUCAUGCCCUUUAUGACUUGGGCUACACACGUACUACAAUGGCGUUAAACAAAGAGAAGCAAGACCGCGAGGUGGAGCAAAACUCAGAAACAACGUCCCAGUUCGGACUGCAGGCUGCAACUCGCCUGCACGAAGUCGGAAUUGCUAGUAAUCGUGGAUCAGCAUGCCACGGUGAAUACGUUCCCGGGCCUGUACACACCGCCCGUCA
This 1369-nucleotide ribosomal RNA is filed under the name uncultured bacterium. RNAcentral's name for it is "16S ribosomal RNA". It matches the Rfam family "Bacterial small subunit ribosomal RNA". The record is from RNAcentral.